This is a non-coding RNA of Nicotiana tabacum (common tobacco), 705 nucleotides long. The record is from RefSeq and is a predicted model, not a curated record. Lineage: Eukaryota; Viridiplantae; Streptophyta; Magnoliopsida; Solanales; Solanaceae.
UAGUAGUUGUGACUUAUUCACACUAUAUACAUUUGGCUUCCGCAACACAAACAAGAAGCAAAACCAUGUCAACUAAUUUGUUCUGGACUUUUAUCAGAAGGGUUGUAUUCUGUGUUUCAAUGACAUACUUUACCCUAUUGUGAAUCAGUGAUCACAGACGCGGUCAUGAUUAGAUGCAUAUGGAUCUGCUUAGCGGCACAUGCCAUGAAAUUCCUUGUUACUCAAGGGCUUGGAGCAUAUCGAAAGCUAGUUCUUUGGUAGUCAUUUGGCAAAACUUCUAAUGGUUGCAUCUUGCAUUAGCUUGAGAGGCGUGACUUCAAAUGCCAAAUGGUUCAGGCUGAAGACCCCAUUCUGCGUGGCUUCUAAGGGGUGUAAUCAAGGCUUUUACAAUCCUCUGAUUGGAUGGGGACCUGAAAGUUCCUCUUUUUUUUUUUGUCGCAAGGUGGUAUUCUCGGAUAGGAAAGUUUGACUGUGGUGAUCGCUGAGAUGCCUACGUCAAACAUGGAGAGCAGCAUUAUACUCUUUUUACGAUAAUGAUGUUCUAUUUUUGCACGAUUUCAGUAGAGAUACGUUCUUUGGACAACAGUCCAUCUAGAAUGUAGGUUAACAUUUAACCUAGGAGAAAACCUUUUAGCACUAUUUUGUUUUUGUUAUGCUAGAUAUUUGUUUUUAUCAUUUCCUGAGUGUCAAAUAUGUUUUCAUCCA